Molecule: non-coding RNA, 227 nt
Organism: Tinamus guttatus (white-throated tinamou)
Lineage: Eukaryota; Metazoa; Chordata; Aves; Tinamiformes; Tinamidae
Source: RefSeq, a predicted model, not a curated record
AAGGCUGCCAAAAUAAUGGAGCGGAUGGUGAAUCAGAACACAUUUGAUGAUAUUGCACAAGAUUUUAAAUAUUUUGAGGAUACCUCCGAUGAAUACAGAGACCAACAGGGCACCCUCCUCCCACUCUGGAAGUUUCAGUAUGACAAAACCAAGAGACUUGCAGUUACUGCCAUCUCCUGGAAUCCAAAGUACAAGGACCUUUUUGCAGUGGGGUAUGGUUCUUGUAA